CAGAAGCUUCUGUGGCUGUUGAGUUACAGGUGUGUCUGCAGGGAGGACUUCCCAAGCCCCAGGGCCAGAUGCUUGGCCCCAACCCAGCUCCCAUGGCAUGGGUCCUCCAAAAGGAAAGACCCAAUUAUUUGCCGCCAAAACGUCUCAUGACUCAUAUGAAUUCUGGAGACAAACACAGAAGGAAGCACCCCGAGGACAAGUGAUGGAACAAAAGGCUGUUCAGGAGGAGGAACACUCAGGGAGAAGCAGUGGCUCAUUGGCAGCCCUAGCUGCAGGAAGGAAGGCAAAGCCAGACACGGGCACAGGCACAGCAGAUGCAGCCGGCACCACAAGACCUGUUCCCAAUGCCCAGGAUGGCCUCGGAAGGGGUUUCUAUCAGGAAACAGGCUACUGGCUAGCAAUACUGGCAUUUAUGUUUUGUUUGGAGCUUGUCUUCGUGUUGUGCUUGUUUGGAAUCCGGUAUUUGGAAUCGGGAAGAGAAAACAGAGCACCUCGGGACAGGAGUUGAAAGACGGUGGCUGCACCUCACACCCAGAGAGCGUGAGCAGCUCCUCCAGCAGCAGGAACGGCCCGGACAGCCCUCUCAAGUGUUCUGUGAAGAGGACCCCAGAAGAGCCGUCGACAAGGAAGCGUCUUAUUGCCCCGUAGAUCCCACUGCCACCUGCUCUCCCCAUGGGCCUCCCCAAGCUUCCUUUAUUCCUUUUUUUCUCUCCGUCUGUCCCAUCCCAGCCAACCCGAGUUCCGCUAGGGACCCCAGGACCAGCCCAGCACCUUCCAGCACCUCCUGAGACCAACACAUCCCUUCCUCUGCCCCUGAGCCCCCUGGCCUUGCCCUCUAGGCAACACUGAAGGUUGUGGAGGAUUUUGUGAACAGCUGGCUAGCUAACAAAGGUCACACUGACAUAAUACCGUUAAUUAAGCAAGAAGGAGACGAGGAUAGGAGUCAGCAGUCAGUGUCCAAACCUGGCAAGGGCACUGUGCCCUUGGUGCAACAUCAGGAUGGGGGAGAGGAUCGUUAGUUAGAAACAUGAAGAAAAUAUGUAAACAGCUGCAGCAUAGUAGCCUCAAGAAUGAUAAGGUAGGCGUAGUUAGCUGAUAAGUAACUAACCAAUAAUGAGCUCGCUUUUUGCAAUAUGUAUUAGCCUCAUUAACACCAAUAUAAAUGUAUGUGCCUAUCAAUAAAGUUUUGAGAUUUGCUGAUCACUCAUAUUGAGUGCCGCAUUUCUUCCGCCGAUUACCACAAAUGGUGACCCCGGACGUGAUAUCGGUAAUGGCAACCACGGUGGAUCGGUGAACGAGUUCGGGUCCUACAGCAGCAAGGAUGGCGAAUAAGC
Passer domesticus (house sparrow) is the source of this 1334-nucleotide long non-coding RNA. RefSeq lists it as uncharacterized. The record is from RefSeq and is a predicted model, not a curated record. Lineage: Eukaryota; Metazoa; Chordata; Aves; Passeriformes; Passeridae. The transcript has 5 exons.